This 487-nucleotide ribosomal RNA is filed under the name uncultured bacterium. RNAcentral's name for it is "bacterial SSU rRNA". It matches the Rfam family "Bacterial small subunit ribosomal RNA", at positions 30 to 512 of the family's 1533-position model. The record is from RNAcentral.
AUUGAACGCUGGCGGCAUGCCUUACACAUGCAAGUCGAACGGUAACGGGCCUUCGGGUGCCGACGAGUGGCGAACGGGUGAGUAAUGUAUCGGAACGUACCUUUCAGUGGGGGAUAACGUAGCGAAAGUUACGCUAAUACCGCAUAUUCUGUGCGCAGGAAAGCAGGGGAUCGCAAGACCUUGCGCUGAUUGAGCGGCCGAUAUCAGAUUAGCUAGUUGGUGAGGUAAAGGCUCACCAAGGCGACGAUCGGUAGCUGGUCUGAGAGGAUGAUCAGCCACACUGGGACUGAGACACGGCCCAGACUCCUACGGGAGGCAGCAGUGGGGAAUAUUGGACAAUGGGCGCAAGCCUGAUCCAGCAAUGCCGCGUGGGUGAAGAAGGCCUGCGGGUUGUAAAGCCCUUUAAGCGGGGAGGAAAGCCGGGGUGUGAAUAGCGCCUCGGGGUGACGUUACCCGCAGAAUAAGCACCGGCUAACUCCGUGCCAGC